RNAcentral lists this long non-coding RNA (1449 nucleotides) under Marmota monax (woodchuck). The record is from RNAcentral. Lineage: Eukaryota; Metazoa; Chordata; Mammalia; Rodentia; Sciuridae.
AUGUGGGUAUGGUUCUCUCUGAAUUUAUGUUUUCUUUUGUUUUUAGGAUUUUGUCAGCUAUGUCAUGUAAAGCCCUGUCUUAAUCUCACUUUGGGGGCUCUUUUACCUCCUGUUCUGGACUGCAGAGCAGAGACUCACCUCAUUCUGUGCAAUGAAUUGACUUUUGACAAUCUUUGCAAACAAUGGUUGGAAGAAGCAUAUUGGAGGGUCUUUCAUAUCCUAUAAUAUGGUGUUCAGACCCUGUGGGUUAAAGGGUAGUUACUUGCUAUGUUACAAACAUCUUCCCUAUGAGAAGGGCUUAUAUAUAUAUACAUAUACAUAUAUAUAUAUAUAUAUAUAUAUAUAUAUAAGGUUUUAUAUAUAUUUGUUUUGGAAGCCCCAUAAACACAGAAGAGAAGCAUUUAUGGUUACAAACAAAGGAAUGCCAGAAGCCAUUAGAUAUGAGGAAAUACAAAAAAAUAAAAUGUUCUCUUAGAGCUUUUAGAGGUAAAAAGUUUAUUUCUGUUUUGUGUAAGAAAACUAAAUUUCUCUUUGGCCUGACAAUAUUUUGAUGUUUUAAACUUGCUUGCAAUUUCUCCCUGUGUUUUGGAUUCACUUAUGCCUGGCUAUCCCUUACCAGAUAACCACCCUCUCUAAAACCUUCCUGGUGCCUCAUAAAUUCUGGCUCCCGCUGACCAAAUUACAUUUCUCUCUAAACCUCAGUGGCAGCUCAUAAAUUCUAAGGUCUGGAGCUGAAUUUAUUUUCUACGUUGAAAUGUUAGCCAUGUGGAUCCUUAACCUGCUAUUUGCCUUUGUACUAUGAUUGUCAAAAUCUUGUUAGCUGUAAGUACCUUAGACACCCACCUCCUUUGUAACUUUUUGUGCUGUAAAAACUUUUUCCUGAAGAUCAGGGGGAUGAUCUCUAGCAUGGAAUCUUGUAAGAGACCAUCCUGGCCAGCUUUUGUGUACACAAUACAAUAUUGAUUUAAUUUGAUUUGAAAUUUGAGUUGGUGGUCUUUUCUUUGUGUUUUGGUUUAACAUUAACUUUUUUUUAACUUCACUAUAAAUAAAACCAAAGAACACAACAAAAUUCCUGUAAAUGAGCCAGGUGCAUAAAAAUAGUCAUUCUUUAUUGCAAGCACAGAAUUCAUUAUAAAAAUGAUAUAAGCUUAAAAAUUAAAAGAUAUCUCAAAUAUCAAGGGAGUUUAGGAGUUAAAUUUUUUUCUUUCAGAAUAUAGGUAGCAAAAUAGGAGAAAAGAGAAAAUGUGAAGCAUAAAUAUAUUAAGUUAUAUGCAAAAAAAUCACCAAAAUAUUUAUUACAAAAAAAAUCAUAUCUACAGAAAUGGUUCAAGAGAAGCAGUCUUUUUGUCAGAAAUAAACAUUUGGACAGGAAUGGAAGUUUUGGUUCUCUUUUUAAGUAGUUUUACUCCUAGUGAAUAAUCUUUACACUAUUUCUGCAUUUUUCUGGUU